UCUACAACGAACUUGACUUUUAAUGACCAUUUCUUAACGACAUGACAUAAAUCCGGUCAGUAUAAGUGUAUUUAGGUGACCAAAAAUAUUUACGGUCGUUAAAGUCUAUUUCUAGUUCAAAGAAUGGCGACAAUAUAAUAUCCGGUCGGUUAAGAUGACAAUAUCCUGUCGUUAGUACUAGCUAGUAUUUUGGCGGAAAAAAUAGAUCACUCCCAUUAUUCCCCAAAACUUCUCUAUUUUUUACAAAAUAAAAGGAAACCGCUUCAGUAAUUAGAAAGGGAAAAAAGGGAGCCAAAUCCUAUACUCCAUUUCUAGGGUUACAUGAAUCAAUUCUCUGCUUUCCGCUUCUACUCAAGCAUGAAAUCUGAGUCUCAACUUCUAAACAUUGGUUAGAUUCUCCGUUCAUUUUAUUUCAGACCCAGUUAUUGCAAAGCAGGCGAUCUUCUGUUGAAGUUUUCCUACAGGCUAUUCGAUAUCUUGAUUGUGCGGUUCGAGAAGUUCUUCCCAAUUGUCACUGAAUAGAGGAGAAAUCUACUUGUAGAUCAGGUUCAAGGAGUUCUGUGAGGAUUGCGUCUUCAAGCAUUAGGGCAGGUAAUAGCUAUUGUUUAGAAGCAUGUACGAAUUCCUAAAGAAAUUUUAUGGUUGUCUUUUCAAUUAUCCCUUUUUUUUAGAAAUUUAUCUGUCAUGUUAUAUUAUGCUUUUUUCACGUUUAUUUGGUUGACUCUGUUGACACAAUCUUUGCCCAAUCAAAAGAUUAUGAUUGUUGAAGACUUGGAUUGACAAAGUUUGUAGUGUUCAUGUUCAUUAUUGGCUGCUUAAAAUUUUUUGGUUGUGUUUUGUGUUUGCAUCAGUUCAGUCUCUCUUUAGUUGUCUUGCAGUGGACAUAUUCAUGCAUUGCGUCUCUUAGGUUCAUCCUUGCAACCGUCCUGCAUUUGACUUCAUAUUGCUUAGGUUCUCAUGCUAACUCUUGUUAUUCUUUAUGACUUUUAAUGAUUCUUGCUUUGUGAGUUUUAGUUUUCAAAUCAUGGUUAAGGAGAGGACAAACUUGAGAGAGUUUUUGAAGCUAAAAAGCCUGUAAUCCUAAGUGCUUACUUUCACUUUUUAUUAUCGAUUCUGUGAAGCAUUUAUUUUUAUGAGUAUUGAUAUAAGUAGAAAGAAAGAAGUCAGAUCCUAUUGAAUAGGAGAGCAUUGAUGAUACCGUAUAGUCAUAAUAGUUUUUGCAAUUUUGCGGCUUUAAUUUCAGUUUUCAAAAUUGAUUAUCUCAUUUUCACUUUGUUGCUAGAGACAUGUUUUGAUCGUCUUUAAUUUUUUUCAUAUUCAGAGGUUAAUUUCUUGAGCAUAAAUGUGUUUGUAUGUUCGUACUCCGGAUCACUGCAUAGGUUAUUUACUUUAGUACUGAUUUAUGUAUUUAUUUCCUCUUUUUGGACCUUUUAAUUGAACUUGUUGGGACUUGCUGGUAGCUGUAUUAGUUUUCUCUGUUUUGGACAUGCUACUUGAAUUUCUUGUUGAAAUUUGCUGGUUUCUAUAUUGGGUUUUUCUAUUUUGGAUCGGCUACUUGAAUUUCUUGUUGAAUGUUACUGGUUUCUGCAUCUACUUUCUUUCUUUACCUUCUACUUGAAUAUGUUGUUGAAAUUUAUUGGUUUUUGUACGUAUUUUCCCAUUUUUGUACCUUUUACUUAAAUUUAUUACUGAUAUUUGUUUAUUUGUGGUACACAACAUCUAAGCUUUUCCGAAAUUGCUGUUCUAUAAUUGUUUUCAAUUGAAGCAUCAUAAAAGGAGAAGAGAAAGAAACACUGGAUAGGUGAAAUUAAGGAGGUUUUGGAGAAGUGUGUAAAUUCGCAGCUAUGGCAUGCCUUUGCUGGAGUAAUGGUGCAAAUCCCUCUAGUCAGCUCCAAGGUCGACUAUUUUCCAUAAGGGCAUGCUGAGCAUAUUCUUACAAUCGUGGAUAGUUUCUAAUCAUGAUUUUAAGGGCGGGGGGGGGGGGGGGGGGGGGGGAAGUAGAAUUGUGUCAUUUCUUUAAUGUCAAAUAUCAACCAAAUCAAAAUAGGAAAACAUGACAAAAGAUCUAUUAUAGAAAUAAGACAUACAUUUUUGUAAAUCUUUUGCAGGAAAGUCUAUUUCAAUCUUCAAACUUAAAAGUGCUGGAGCAUCAGGUUCCUUAUGAACAGAAUAGAUUGAGAAUCUGAAGUCUGAAGAGCCUGGACUUGAAGAAACUGAUGAGCAAGUCGAAGAAACUGAAAAUGUUAAAGAACAAGUUGAAGCACAAGCGGAGCCUAUUCUCUGUUUUGUUAGGAUUGUUUUUAGAUGUUUUUCUUUCUUGUACAUGUUACAACUUUAUUUCCUCUUUUAAUAGGAGACAAAUUAAAUGUCAUACUAUUUAGAUGUGUAUGUUUUUCAAUGUGAUGAUUAGUUCCUUGUAAUUAACUACCAAAUUUUAAUGAAGUACUGAUAGUUUUGUAUG
Molecule: long non-coding RNA, 2461 nt
Organism: Lycium ferocissimum
Lineage: Eukaryota; Viridiplantae; Streptophyta; Magnoliopsida; Solanales; Solanaceae
Exons: 4
Source: RefSeq, a predicted model, not a curated record